RNAcentral lists this ribosomal RNA (253 nucleotides) under uncultured bacterium. RNAcentral's name for it is "partial 16S ribosomal RNA". It matches the Rfam family "Bacterial small subunit ribosomal RNA", at positions 524 to 776 of the family's 1533-position model. The record is from RNAcentral.
UACGUAGGGUGCGAGCGUUAAUCGGAAUUACUGGGCGUAAAGCGUGCGCAGGCGGUUCGUUAAGUCUGAUGUGAAAGCCCUGGGCUCAACCUGGGAAUGGCAUUGGAAACUGGCGACCUAGAGUGCGGUAGAGGGUAGUGGAAUUCCCGGUGUAGCAGUGAAAUGCGUAGAGAUCGGGAGGAACAUCUGUGGCGAAGGCGACUGCCUGGACCAGCACUGACACUGAGGCACGAAAGCGUGGGGAGCAAACAGG